UGUUCGCCCAUUAAAGCGGUACGCGAGCUGGGUUCAGAACGUCGUGAGACAGUUCGGUCCCUAUCCGUCGUGGGCGUAGGAAAUUUGAGAGGAGCUGUCCUUAGUACGAGAGGACCGGGAUGGACAUACCUCUGGUGUACCAGUUGUCGUGCCAACGGCAUAGCUGGGUAGCUAUGUGUGGACGGGAUAAGUGCUGAAAGCAUCUAAGCAUGAAGCCCCCCUCAAGAUGAGAUUUCCCAACUUCGGUUAUAAGAUCCCUCAAAGAUGAUGAGGUUAAUAGGUUCGAGGUGGAAGCAUGGUGACAUGUGGAGCUGACGAAUACUAAUCGAUCGAAGACUUAAUCAA
This 345-nucleotide ribosomal RNA is filed under the name Staphylococcus aureus. RNAcentral's name for it is "partial 23S ribosomal RNA". It matches the Rfam family "Bacterial large subunit ribosomal RNA", at positions 2578 to 2925 of the family's 2925-position model. The record is from RNAcentral. RNAcentral also lists the same sequence under 1 other name. Lineage: Bacteria; Bacillati; Bacillota; Bacilli; Caryophanales; Staphylococcaceae.